This 469-nucleotide ribosomal RNA is filed under the name uncultured bacterium. RNAcentral's name for it is "bacterial SSU rRNA". It matches the Rfam family "Bacterial small subunit ribosomal RNA", at positions 327 to 793 of the family's 1533-position model. The record is from RNAcentral.
ACUCGUAGACUCCUACGGGAGGCAGCAGUGGGGAAUAUUGCACAAUGGGGGAAACCCUGAUGCAGCCAUGCCGCGUGUGUGAAGAAGGCCUUCGGGUUGUAAAGCACUUUCAGCGAGGAGGAAAGGGUGUGUGCUAAUACCAUACAUCUGUGACUAUGCGAGAAGACACCGGCUAACUCCGUGCCAGCAGCCGCGGUAAUACGGAGGGUGCGAGCGUUAAUCGGAAUUACUGGGCGUAAAGCGUGCGCAGGCGGUUUGUUAAGCGAGAUGUGAAAGCCCCGGGCUCAACCUGGGAAUUGCAUUUCGAACUGGCAAGCUAGAGUCUUGUAGAGGGGGGUAGAAUUUCAGGUGUAGCGGUGAAAUGCGUAGAGAUCUGAAGGAAUACCGGUGGCGAAGGCGGCCCCCUGGACAAAGACUGACGCUCAUGCACGAAAGCGUGGGGAGCAAACAGGAUUAGAUACCCUGGUAG